Molecule: unclassified non-coding RNA, 344 nt
Filed under: soil metagenome
Description: partial contains 5.8S ribosomal RNA, internal transcribed spacer 2, and large subunit ribosomal RNA
Rfam family: 5.8S ribosomal RNA (bases 1-120)
Source: RNAcentral
GAUGAAGAACGUAGUAAAAUGCGAUAAGUAAUGUGAAUUGCAGAAUUCAGUGAAUCAUCGAAUCUUUGAACGCACAUUGCGCCCGCCAGUAUUCUGGCGGGCAUGCCUGUUCGAGCGUCAUUUCAACCCUCAAGCCCUCGGGUUUGGUGUUGGGGAUCGGCGAGCCUUUCUGGCAAGCCGGCCCCGAAAUCUAGUGGCGGUCCCGCUGUAGCUUCCUCUGCGUAGUAGCACACCUCGCACUGGGAAACAGCGUGGCCACGCCGUAAAACCCCCCACUUCUGAAAGGUUGACCUCGGAUCAGGUAGGAAUACCCGCUGAACUUAAGCAUAUCAAUAAGCGGAGGA